GGGGGUGAUCGGUUUCGACAUUGGUCGGCAUUUCAGGGGAAGCGGGUCGAGGAUGCCUGGUUAUCUCGUUAACGCUCCCGGCAAACCAAUAGGUGCCAAUUCCAAGCGCACCGACUUCGCCCUCGCCGCCUGAGCGAGCCUCGAAGUCCGUCAGCCUGAGCUAGUUCUCGUCUCAGUGUCUGGCGUCAGCUAGAGAACUUGCUGCGCAGCCAUGUCGGGGGGCUGCGCGGGACUCC
Molecule: transfer-messenger RNA, 236 nt
Filed under: Salmonella enterica subsp. enterica serovar Senftenberg
Lineage: Bacteria; Pseudomonadati; Pseudomonadota; Gammaproteobacteria; Enterobacterales; Enterobacteriaceae
Description: partial transfer-messenger RNA
Rfam family: transfer-messenger RNA
About the family: Bacterial tmRNA, also known as 10Sa RNA or SsrA, is named for its dual tRNA and mRNA-like properties. Its role is to liberate the mRNA from a stalled ribosome.
Source: RNAcentral